This 24-nucleotide non-coding RNA is filed under the name Arabidopsis thaliana (thale cress). Lineage: Eukaryota; Viridiplantae; Streptophyta; Magnoliopsida; Brassicales; Brassicaceae. The record is from RNAcentral.
UAGAGACUCUCGAGAGGUAUCCUG